RNAcentral lists this ribosomal RNA (305 nucleotides) under uncultured bacterium. RNAcentral's name for it is "bacterial SSU rRNA". It matches the Rfam family "Bacterial small subunit ribosomal RNA", at positions 335 to 657 of the family's 1533-position model. The record is from RNAcentral.
UGCCCUACGGGACGCAGCAGUGGGGAAUAUUGCACAAUGGGGGAAACCCUGAUGCAGCGACGCCGCGUGAGCGAUGAAGUAUUUCGGUAUGUAAAGCUCUCUCAGCAGGGAAGAAAAUGACGGUACCUGACUAAGAAGCCCCGGCUAACUACGUGCCAGCAGCCGCGGUAAUACGUAGGGGGCAAGCGUUAUCCGGAUUUACUGGGUGUAAAGGGAGCGUAGACGGACCUGCAAGCCAGAUGUGAAAGCCCGGGGCUCAACCACGGGACUGCAUUUGGAACUGGAAGGCUAGAGAGUCGGAGAGG